GAUGAACGCUGGCGGCGUGCCUAAUACAUGCAAGUCGAGCGAACAGACGAGGAGCUUGCUCCUCUGACGUUAGCGGCGGACGGGUGAGUAACACGUGGAUAACCUACCUAUAAUACUGGGAUAACUUCGGGAAACCGGAGCUAAUACCGGAUAAUAUAUUGAACCGCAUGGUUCAAUAGUUAAAUACGGUUUUUCUUUCCCUUAUAGAUGGAUCCGCGCCGCAUUAGCUAGUUGGUAAGUUAACGGCUUACCAAGGCAACGAUGCGUAGCCGACCUGAGAGGGUGAUCGGCCACACUGGAAGUGAGACACGGUCCAGACACCGACGGGAGGCAGCAGUAGGGAAUAUUCCGCAAUGGGCGAAAGCCUGACGGAGCAACGCCGCGUGAGUGAUGAAGGUCUUCGGAUCGUAAAACUCUGUUAUUAGGGAAGAACAAAUGUGUAAGUAACUAUGCACGUAUUGACGGUACCUAAUCAGAAAGCCACGGCUAACUACGUG
This 497-nucleotide ribosomal RNA is filed under the name uncultured bacterium. Its description in RNAcentral is "partial 16S ribosomal RNA". It matches the Rfam family "Bacterial small subunit ribosomal RNA", at positions 28 to 507 of the family's 1533-position model. The record is from RNAcentral.